This is a long non-coding RNA of Hylaeus volcanicus, 5650 nucleotides long. RefSeq lists it as uncharacterized. NCBI's taxonomy places the organism in Eukaryota, Metazoa, Arthropoda, Insecta, Hymenoptera, Colletidae. The transcript has 7 exons. The record is from RefSeq and is a predicted model, not a curated record.
UGAGAUGACGGCUCGACAGACGAGCAUAACCGGUCGGACGGGAGGGCAGGCGGGAGAGUAUGUCAGGUUUAGGUCGAACCGCACAGCGUUUCUCAGUAGUCGCGUUUCUAUACUCGGAUGGUGCGGUCGUGUCGCUUUCCUCGACGUUCCCAGUCUCUUGAUCUUGGUCUACAAUUUCCACUCUGUUUUUUCUCGAUUCGUAACCAACUACGUUUGCACGGAAUAACGGUAAAGAGCUCUCGAGUAUCCCGGCGUUACCAGCUUAGGAAUUGGAGCGUGCGGCGGCGCCACUUUAGAUUCUCUACAUCAGGGGUCGGAAAACUAUGGUCCGCGGGCCAGAUUCAGCCAAUCACAUUGCAGGUUGCAGUUUAUGUACGAGAAAAUUGCGAGGUGUUUGCGAGACCAGGCGAACGUCUCACCCUUGGAAGUGUUUAAUAAAUUUAGGCGGUUCUUUCUUGUUUUCUUCGAUUUUCCGCGCGUCUGCGCACGUUGCGCAAUCUAUCGAGCCGUAGUGUCAUUGAGUUCUCAAAUGCAUAUGUAUAUGCACACUACUGUCCACAAGCAUCCCAAUACUUAAACGCUCACUGUUACUGGAUCUGCGAGGAAUACAAUAGCGAGGGAACCAUUAUCGAAGCCACGGAAUAAUCAACCGAGACGAUUUCUCAUAAUUAUAUUGUAUGUGGACGAAAAAUAACAUUCAGGGUGGGGCUCGAGUAUAUGAACCUCAACCAAACACUUAAUGUAGGUAAAUCAGUAACGAUCGAAUCCUCUAGUUCGUCCCUGUGGCACUAGAUGGUUACUGCAGGUGACCUCUCUGUCGCAAAAAAAAGAAAAGAAAAAAAAGACCGGAAAAAUUGUUUAUGAAACUCGGAGUAAUUUUGAAGAAACGCGACAAGAAUCACUCUCUCAUAUUUCACCCUAUUCAGCUUCUACGUUGAGAACACAUCUCGAGCAAAAAGUAUAUCCAAGUAGUUGACGCACGAAUAAUAUAUUUUAUGCAUUUAAACAUUUUGAAAGUUGAAAUGUUUGCUAGUGUAGAUCGUGUUACAAGUUGAAUGUAAAUCCGUUUCGUGUAAAGUCGUUGUUCGAUCGGGUUUACGGGGAGAUGCAGAGACUCGGUGGUGCUUGCGGGGAAUAAUCUUCGUCUUGGCGAGUCACGAGUCACGAGUCACGAGUCACGAGUCACGAGUUUCUGUCCCUCUACGUCGCGUAGUUAUCCCCACUACGUUAACUGUAUCUCAUUCGCUUUCACUGUUUCUCACUCUCGUCCCCAACGUCCUCAGAUGCGAGCAAGGCGAAGAUAAAUAAACAGCUCUCAACUGUUGGAAACCUGUGCCUUUAAGGUGUUCGACGCACGGUCAAAUAUUAUUGUGGAACAUCGAACGAAUACUACUGGCAAAUAAUAUCGACCGUCUAGGGAUGAUAUUCUCGACUGAUUGCCAAGUUAUUUUACUUUUAAACUCGAUUUAAACGGUAUAAUCACAUACAAUGUAACUCCAUAAAUGUAAACUUCCAUUUCACGUUGGUAAUAUUUAAUGUUAACAUACAGUAUAUUAUUUAUACAAGUUCAUUGUACUCUGAGAGUAACUAAUAUGGCCGUAACGUUCAUUAAAAUUUACAUUCAAUGAAGAAAUUUCCAUUUCAAUGAUCUCGCUAUUAAAACAAUAUCUACUUGUUAUAUCGAGAGAUGAAAAGGGAAGCGAGAAAAUCAAUUGAUAAUUUAUUAGAAAUUACUCAUCGCUAGACCUACUUACAAGUCAGUGUUCGUACAAGUCCUGCAUCGAAGCAGAAAUUACCUAACACUAUACACUUUCUACUUGCACAUGGUAUCUCAUUCCCCGUAAUUCGGGGCUAAGCUCCGUGCAGUAGGUGGCGUCCGAUGACAGCUCGUCAGCUACGCGUUAAUUCCUAGGGGAGAAUACUGCACCUCUGAACGGUUAUACCCACAGAUAUCUAUGUAUAGCCUGUUGAGCUUACAUCGGAAUGGAUAAAUAUCUAAUAAUAAGCUAAAGCUAUAAAACGACGGAAAUGUUUGUACAAAAGUUAUUUGCUUCAAAUGGACAAAUUACAUGGCGUAAAUAAUUUUGUUACAAAUUCGUCGACCUAUAAUACGUGGUUGGUUAUUGUAACAUAAAACCUUAUAAUUGGAGGUAUCGAUUUUAAAUUGCUUUAAAAUAGAUUUUAUACUCAAGUAGUUGCAAUGUUUUGUAACUGUUUAAACAAAGAAAAGAAAAAAAGGAAAUGUUUUUCAGAGAUAAAAAGUGUAUAUAGUAAAUAAAGGCUGUUGAGUUUCAUGGUUGGCCCUUGAACGAUAUACGAUACGAGGCAUCUAUCUAUGUAUGUUCUAUUACCGCAGUGAACGUGCUAAAUAAAAAUGUACGUCGACGAGUAUAUGUCGUGAUAAUUCUAAUAAAUUAACAAGAUACACGUGUAAUAUAGUUCAGAAAUACAAUACAUACAUACAUACAUACAUAUAACGAAUAGAGAUCGAUUUUACCACCGACGCUUUUAUUUUAUUAUUAAUAAGUUUAUUCUAAUUUUAAAUGUACAUGAUGCAUAUUUUUUACCUCUGUAGAUACAGACAAAUGGUUCCAGUUUAAUAAUAUCGGUUAAUAGUACCCCGUCUAUCAAUCAUUUUAUUCUAUUGUUCUAAUAAACUGACUCCCCAUUUUAAAUAUUUACAUCUGAAUUGAUUCUACGUGUCUUUAUUAAACAAAAAUAAAAUUAAAAAAAGAAAGAAAGAAAAAAAAGCGUCUCUAAUUGUAAGGGACAGAAAUAAAUACUGGCGAUAAAGAGGUUAUGUCUAGGCUGCGAAUUGUUACGGAUUCACGAUACAAACUGAUGUAAUAAGUACACCCUGAACAUAACCGAUAGGUGUAUCGGUAUAUUGUAUGUACUUACGCAAAACAAAAUAAAAAUUAAUUAAAUUAUUAAUUGUAGAAUAUAUUGAACAUACAUUCUGUAUAGUUUUUGUAUGUCUUCUGUAAUUACUGUACACCACAAUUCAAUCAAAUCUACAGUCCAGUUACGGCAACUAAAAAUCCCUCGAGCCGUCAAAUCGAAUUAGGCCAUUCGUUGGUUUAAUUAGGUGUUACAGAAGUAAACGAAUCAAAAUAUUGAAAUGCACAAUGGAGAUAUCUUAAUGGCGUGAAUGACAGAGUGCACGGGUCGGUUGGAAAUCAUGUCGGUGCAGAUAGACGUGAUUAUAGCGCGAAGCGCUUUAAGAGUGUUCGAUUGGUAGAACGAAAGUCACAAAUAGCAUUCUAGCAAUCGGAAUGCUUAGCACCUCUGCGACGUCACAGACUUACGCGGUCUGAUUUUCAGUCGGUAGAAUCAGUAGCGGAUCUAAACUUAUCGAGACCUGAUGCCCGAGGAACGCUUUCUUUUUCUCGUGAAAUCUGCCUCGUGAAAGACAAAUCGUAUCGUGAAAUUGUAUUUUAAUCCUAUCAAGUAUAGAAAUAACGCCGACGCGGGUCAUCUAACAAGAUUAAAUGCUUACCAGUCAAAUGUAUUUGCAGAUAUUAAAUUUGAAAAAAAAAAAGAAAAAAGAAAAAAGAAAAAAUUAGUAAAAAUUUCAGGCAGAUCCGCACCUGGGUAAAAUGCGGCGUCGCCAAUGUCAUUCUACCAAUCGGAAGCCUCGCGGCAUACGCGCGGCUGUGACGCGACAAUUUUUUUUAUUCGUCAGCGUACAGAGAUUGUCUGAAGUCAUGAGUCAGACGACGCUUACGAAAGAGGUAGGGGUCAGCGACGUAAAUUUCAGCGGGCAUCUUUGAAAAGAGAGAGUUAUUGUACCUAGACGACAUCAAGUGUUUACAUAUCAACGCGACGAAUUCAACUGACAUUUCUCUCCCAAAAGAAACUUCGGUCAAAAAAUCCGAUUAAUAGGCCACCGAAAACAUUCUUCGCAUGCUUUCCUCUAGCCAGAUGGUUAAAACUGACCACUGUGUGACGGUCGGUAAAAGGACGGCCGUCUUGCACGAUAAGAUAGAUCCGUUCCUCGCGUAUCGUGCACCAGAUUACCGCGAGUCGACACCUGGUACAUACCCGUCUAACCGAGAGUUGUUCGAUCUUGUUCAAAUAAUCACGGUAAACAUCAGCAAUCGGAAGUGACAAUAAUAAUGCCGGACGAGUAUAGAAACGAAGAGGUAAACGAGUAACUACAUUAACGGGUUGUGUAAGUGGGCAGUCUACUAAGCGGAUGAGUAAUCAUAUAAAUAGACAGACAGCUGUCUAGGCGAAUACGCAAAUACGCAAAUAAGCAGAUAGUCGGCCAAGCAAUUACGUGCAUAAGCGAAUGGAAAGAUCUACAAGAUAAGUAGAUAAAUAGACGAGUAAGUACGUGGACGUACUGUGGCAAGCUGUCAAGAGGAAAGGAUCGCGUCGCGACCGAGGGACGGAGGGGGCGAGGGAGACAUUUUCUUUGCUUACUGAGGCGUCGAUGUAUCAGCAGUCGGCGAGAGAAAUUCACCGUGGCGGUUAAAGCGGACGGUAAUGCAGAUUGCAAGGUGAACUCUAGGCGGUUUCUGUUACCGCGAUGCAUUACACGCGUGGACUCUGCAUUUCCCGAGUUUUCGCUCUCAAGAGUCAUCUACACCAGUGGUGCGCAACCUGUCUAGCUGCUGGUGGACGGAUCGUGUUCAGAUAAAAUAAUGUUUUACCGCGGAACAACGUUACAGUUGUUCAAAAUACUAUUCAGAAUUUUUAGCUAAUUUGCAUUCAGAAUGCGAAGAGUAACUAUCAAUUACUCACUUUUAUCAACUCCUAUGGGCCCGUGUAACUUUUAGGUAGCAUGCUAAUAUAUCGAUAUUUCAUCAGGUAAUUUCAUUUUUUUCUUUUUUUUUUUUCAGUUGACAGCAUUAUCAAUCAGAUAUAGUCAAGCAAAUGCGUGACAAGUUGUCUGCAGAAAAAAUUCGUUCCAUAGAGAGUUAACAGAAAAUCACUUAAGCGGUAUUUGAACGUAUCUCAAAGUAUUUAAAGAAAUUUGAAAAAUUGUCGGUUUUACAGCUGUUUAAAGGCAUUCGAAAAAUGAUAACUAUCCAACUAGCUAACGGAUGAGAAUAAGCUUUCGUGGGCUUACAGGAAAAUCAUUAAAGUAUCGAAUUCAAAGUAAUUAAUAUAUGCCUUGUUUUUCUGAUACGUAUAAUUUUAAAAAUGUGAAAAAGAAAAAAAAAUUGUCAAUAUAGCCAUAUUGCCAUUUAUACUGUAACCUAUUAAUCGUGGUGGUCUACUUACAAUGGUCAGACAAGGCUUUUGAUAUCCCUAGUAACAUUAUGCGUAUCCAUUCAUUUACGAUCAAUCGAAGAAACAUAAUCGCGACAUCGUAUCAUAUAUAAUUAUUGUUAUUACAUAUUACAUAACCCACCUAACUUUGUAUAGCGAAUAAUCGCAAAACAUGAUAUUCAUUUGAUGCAUCAAUUAUGCGUUACAAAUAAUUAUCUUAAUAGAUAAAUAUCAUUUUUUUCUCGUAUUAAAAUUCCUCUUUGUACAAUGAAAUAUUUAUACAUGUAAUAUAAUUAAUCAUUCAUCCGUGAUAUUUAAUUAUAAUAUUAUUAGACAAGUACCAAUUUCCUCUGCUAUAUUACAACUUGCAAUUUGAAAUUCGUUAUUUUGGUUCAUGCACAGUGCGUGACAAUAAAUUCCGUAAAGAAUA